AUGCCGAUGCAGUACUGGUCCAUCAGAGGGGUGCAGGAGGUGUUCGGCGACAAGGUGCGCAUCAAUCGGCUCGACAGCCGCACGCUGGAGCGCGGCCACACCAAGACCUUUGCCUGCUGGGUCUGGGUGUGGGAUAUGGCAUUCAUCCCCAUCAGGCACACCUACUGGAAGCUCCCCCGAGACGUCGGACGUGUGGAAGAGAUGGAGGGCUUUUCGCCGCCGGACAGCAGGGUGGCUCCACCACUAGGAGCAACGCGGUUCGACCUCCUCAUCCAUGUCGACCGCGUCGAAGACUGGUCUCCACGAUCCCCACACUCCUCCCACUCGGCGAAGAGCGGAUUGCCAUCAUCUGGCUCCGACGACGACAACGCGCUACCGCGCACCUACCCAGGGACAUGGACCAUGCACGUGGAGGACGGCCAGCGUGAGGAGCCGCACAGGCGGCAAGCUCGCGCCCCGGUGGUGGACAUGGGCUAUCGGGGCCUGCCUCUCGGCAGCCCCAGGCGCGACCCGACAACGACGAAGCUGGCAGAAGGUCCUGGAAGGACAUGCUGCUGGGGCCCGGAUGUGGUCACCAUGCCAAGGCAGAGGUCACGUCAAGGGAGCGUUGUGACCGCAGCCGAUCCCCUCCAACGCGCCACCGCUCCGGCAGCUCCAAGGGCCAGAGGCACAGGACCGCUCGCCAAGUGA
This 690-nucleotide ribosomal RNA is filed under the name Triticum aestivum (bread wheat). RNAcentral's name for it is "partial small subunit ribosomal RNA". The record is from RNAcentral. Lineage: Eukaryota; Viridiplantae; Streptophyta; Magnoliopsida; Poales; Poaceae.